RNAcentral lists this ribosomal RNA (505 nucleotides) under uncultured bacterium. Its description in RNAcentral is "bacterial SSU rRNA". It matches the Rfam family "Bacterial small subunit ribosomal RNA", at positions 15 to 507 of the family's 1533-position model. The record is from RNAcentral.
GAUCAUGGCUCAGGAUGAACGCUAGCUACAGGCUUAACACAUGCAAGUCGAGGGGAAACGAUAGAGAAAGCUUGCUUUUCUAGGCGUCGACCGGCGCACGGGUGAGUAACGCGUAUCCAACCUGCCCAUCACUUGGGGAUAACCUUGCGAAAGUAAGACUAAUACCCAAUGACGUCUCUAGAAGACAUCUGAAGGAGAUUAAAGAUUUAUCGGUGAUGGAUGGGGAUGCGUCUGAUUAGCUUGUUGGCGGGGUAACGGCCCACCAAGGCGACGAUCAGUAGGGGGUUCUGAGAGGAAGGUCCCCCACAUUGGAACUGAGACACGGUCCAAACUCCUACGGGAGGCAGCAGUGAGGAAUAUUGGUCAAUGGGCGAGAGCCUGAACCAGCCAAGUAGCGUGAAGGAUGAAGGUCCUACGGAUUGUAAACUUCUUUUAUACGGGAAUAAAGUAUCCUACGUGUAGGAUUUUGUAUGUACCGUAUGAAUAAGCAUCGGCUAACUCCGUG